Molecule: long non-coding RNA, 1095 nt
Organism: Oryza brachyantha (malo sina)
Lineage: Eukaryota; Viridiplantae; Streptophyta; Magnoliopsida; Poales; Poaceae
Exons: 3
Source: RefSeq, a predicted model, not a curated record
AGCAAUUAAAUGAAGAAGGAGAGAGGAGCCGGCGCCUGCUUCGUCGACGGCCAGUGCUCGUGCUCCCAGGCUUGGAGACGAUUCGGCUGGGCGUUGUAUGAACUCGACGACGGCGGUGUGAAGAUCGAUUGCGUCCACGCACCAUCGUGAGUUCUUCUUCCCGCCGUGCUUUCGCGCCAAAUCGAUCGAGGAAGCAUCAUCAACUUCUUCUUCCCGCGUUGCUUCCGCGCCAAAUCAACCGAGGAAGACGGCGGCGCAUGGUGUGGUUCGGCGAUUUUCUCCUCUGCGCAGCGAUUCGUCCCUCUGCCUGGAGGCUGCUGUUGGCGGUGGCAACAUGGCUGGAGGCAAGGGCAUGGAUGUGUUGGCUGGAGGAGGGAGGAGCUCGGGCUCGACACCUGCCGAGGGCACAACCAGUUUGAUGAUUAGAAAUAAUGAUCACUUUGCCGAACUUGUUUCAUAUGUUCAGAAUCUGAAAAAUAUGUUCUGAAGCUAGUAUUGUCUACAAACUUAUUGUUCCCUAAUUCAGUUAAGUUUAUGCUUUUCAUAGGGACCAUAGCCCACACCCAAAUGGUGAUUUUAUUAACAUGUUCAAUCACCAGCCUCAAUUAUCACCUCAUGUGUUGAUAUACAAGUGUUAUGACAGAUGCUGAAAAGAUUGAACAUGUCGCUUCUUUGAGAUGUUUCAGGAAUAGGCUAUUUCCAGAUAGCAACUAGAAGGUACACCGGCUAAAAUUUACUGUCCAUGUUCUCAUAUAUGUCCAAGUUAGCAUAAGUUUUUCCUGUUAGGAUUGGUGUUAACCCAUGCUGCCUGCAAGCAUCAACCGGAUCCAAAUUAUAUAUGGACCUAGUUGAUGCAACAUACAUGAACCUCAUUUCAAGAUGGUGGUCCUGGUAAUGAGAGGUGGACAGCUUUACCGUUUUUUGGCAUGGUGGAAUCUCAGACUUUAUGUAAUAUUUGAACUAAAUGAUCUACAGCUAUGUGUUAUGGUGGACUGACUCUAGUCAGUACGAUAAGUGCAAUAUUUCAGUUUUUAUGAAUGUGAGAUUGAACAUAUGUACAGUUUAUAUACUGAAUUUGAGCCGUUCUUGAUUAGA